This 486-nucleotide ribosomal RNA is filed under the name uncultured bacterium. RNAcentral's name for it is "partial 16S ribosomal RNA". It matches the Rfam family "Bacterial small subunit ribosomal RNA", at positions 30 to 507 of the family's 1533-position model. The record is from RNAcentral.
AUUGAACGCUGGCGGCAUGCCUUACACAUGCAAGUCGAACGGCAGCACGGGUGCUUGCACCUGGUGUCGAGUGGCGAACGGGUGAGUAAUACAUCGGAACAUUUCCUGUAGUGGGGGAUAGCCCGGCGAAAGCCGGAUUAAUACCGCAUACGAUCUACGGAUGAAAGCGGGGGACCUUCGGGCCUCGCGCUAUAGGGUUGGCCGAUGGCUGAUUAGCUAGUUGGUGGGGUAAAGUCCUACCAAGGCGACGAUCAGUAGCUGGUCUGAGAGGACGACCAGCCAAACUGGGACUGAGACACGGCACAGACUCCUACGGGAGGCAGCAGUGGGGAAUUUUGGACAAUGGGCGAAAGCCUGAUCCAGCAAUGCCGCGUGUGUGAAGAAGGCCUUCGGGUUGUAAAGCACUUUUGUCCGGAAAGAAAUCCUUGGCCCUAAUACGGUCGGGGGAUGACGGUACCGGAAGAAUAAGCACCGGCUAACUACGUG